GAGAGCCUCCCUCCUCUCUCUCUCUUCCUAGUCUCCUCGAGAAGAAGGACCGACAAACUUCUAAUCAUGACUCGACCAGUAAUGGCUCCACCAAGUUUCGACCCUGGCCGCCUGCAUACAUCACAGGUACUGCCGAGCGUGAGGAGACUAAGCACAGACACUUCAUCACUAGCUGGUACUGCUGAGAGUGAGGAGACUAAGCACAGACACUUCAUCACUUGCUGGUGACCAUGGCUGACUACUUCAGUGACUGGAUAAAGACUGCUCAUGUCUUGAAAUCACUCUGACUCAUGACCUCAGGUCUGGCAUCGCCGGGCUGUGUGGGUUCCCAACCCUUCCUGCUUCACAAGUAGAGCGUUGGAGAUCUUCCCGUGUGGGGAACUGCUGCAGGCCGUCCCAAAGGACAACAACCCAAGGAUCAUGUCGGAUAGUUGCCAUAACAUUCAUGCACAAUAAUUGAACUGUGUGGAUUGUGAAAUUGUUUGUAUGCAAUAAAAAAAACCCUGCAAACUAA
Limanda limanda (common dab) is the source of this 514-nucleotide long non-coding RNA. RefSeq lists it as uncharacterized. The transcript is spliced from 7 exons. The record is from RefSeq and is a predicted model, not a curated record. Lineage: Eukaryota; Metazoa; Chordata; Actinopteri; Pleuronectiformes; Pleuronectidae.